AUGUUGUUUUAUGAUGACAUAUCUUUAGGAAAGAACAUUCAAAUAGAGAAAUUUUGCUGUGUUAGAUUUUUAUUAUUACCAAGUAUACGAGUUUGCUCUAUCUGGUUGUCUCAAAGUAUUACAGUUAUACGUGAAUAUGAUAAUCAAUUGCAUGUUUGUGAAGAACAGAGGCCUGUAAGUGUGGCGGUAUGGCCUCUUUCUAGAGACAUACUUGACUGCUUAUUAAGUUGUGGGUUGUUUUUUGACAGAUAUAUUUUCUCACUUUCUUACAACAACUUAGUCUCCAGUUAUUGUACAAGUCUGGUGCGCAAGUGUUGUUUCGUUCCAUCUUCAGUUUGA
RNAcentral lists this ribosomal RNA (339 nucleotides) under Triticum aestivum (bread wheat). RNAcentral's name for it is "partial small subunit ribosomal RNA". Lineage: Eukaryota; Viridiplantae; Streptophyta; Magnoliopsida; Poales; Poaceae. The record is from RNAcentral.